AUAGGAAUUUUAAUACAUUAUAUAAGAGUCGUGAAUAACAUCACCUUCCUUAGAUUCUCAAGGGGAUCGUACUACAUAUACUAUGUAUGUGAGGACAAGGUAACCACUAUGUUCCCUAAACAUUCUUGUCUUCAUUAGCAUCUAGGUUCAACAAUGCAAGAUUUAUGUUUCCUGAGCAGUGGCUUAAUAUCUGAAAAAUCAUUCUCCUCUAUCCAAGUUCUUAGAUGACUUUUCUGGAUAUCUGAAAUUAAGCAACAUCUUAGAAGGACCAAGGAAGUUACGUGAACGGAUGUUUUGUGAAAUUUUGAUAAAGUCAAUUCAACUUUUUUUGUAGUUUUCUUGGAAAUGGGUUAGGACUCGUACGAGGAUCUUGUAGUUCCAUGGCUGUCACUAAUUUAAGGUCUUUUACGCAGGCUCUUGAACUAUGAACCAGAAGAUACAAAAAGGGUAUUCUGGACACCCCAACUGACAGACCCACAGCUUAAUCUGAAGAGUUAGGUGAUUCAAGGCACGGAAAAAAUGGAAGCCCCCUCUCAACCAGUAAGCAGUCAAGCUUUAUGACACCCUUUGGACAAAGAACCAAUAAAUUUGCAAUUCAGUUCCAGACCAGGACUCAACCUAUUGGAGAAAGUGGAAACAAAGAAUCUGAAGAUGAAGAUAUGGGAGAUGAAAGUAUUCGAAGGGUGACCAAAGAAUAGGUGCUCAACCAAAGAAGAUAUGUAUGAUAGAAUUGAAGAUAGGUUUAAUUCUCUUCUGGAUCGCAUCAAUAAACAUACAUCAACAUGCUUCUGGGAAAUAUGAAGAACUUGUAGAUCCUACAACAACCUCUCAUGUAUUGUAGCUUCUUAAGAUACCUUUAUCUAUAUUUUCUUUAUUCUGCAGUCCUAUGAACAACUACUAAUCUCAUCGGAUUAUUUAUCAAAAAAGCAUGUUUGCUGUUGGAUGAUCGGCUGCCUGAAUGAAAAUUCAGUCUUAUUACAAACAGGUAAGUUCAUGUUACCUUUAUUGUGAUACUAAUUCUCAAAAGUUCGUGUUGUUUGCUCAAUGCUCAUAUCUUUGAGCAGGGUAAUUUACUAACACAAUGGCGAGUUAGGUUUUCAGAUUUGGCACAAAGGAUGGUAAAGUGGGUGGGAGUCUUUUAGAUAAACAUAGCUACAUUCUAUAACCAGUGUCUGGAAUUGUCAAGUACUUUAAACUGCAAUCAUAUUUUCUUCUGUUAUGACAACCUUUGCAAAAGGCAACAAUGAUUUUGGAUAUUGUGACAAUUUAUUUAUCGAAUGUACAAUUUUUGACUUCAGUAUCCAUUGUUGUGCGAUGAUUUGAAUGGUGCCAAGGACCUUACUAUGCCACACUGCAGGAUGGUUAUAGAGAUAUGCUAAAGUUAGCAGAAAAUGUUGUUGCUUUUAAUCGGCUUCUAAAGUAUGCACACGUUUGCGCAGUUUUCUCCGUUAAAUCUGAUCCUAGGUCCUGGUGGAAAUAUGCCAAUAAGGCUGUAUUAAUCAAAUGAAGAAGGCUAGGUUUGGGAUCUUCAUACCUUUUUCGUUUUCUUGUUGCUCUUUGCUUCAGUAACAAUUUCACUUUCGGCAUGUUCUUAUGAAGCUGCUACUUCCUGUCUUGGAUAUUUCAUCUCUCUGGUUUCAUAUACCAUUUUCUUUUUCUUGUCAUAUUCUAAUUUCAUUUAGAGCAUGUUAACAUUCAUAAUUACACGGGGAUUGAUGGAAGGAUUUUGUUUAUAGCUUUUGAGGUAAACUGUGGGUAGUGUUUGUACUUUGGGUGAUGAUAAAGGUCGCAAGUUGCGACAACAUUUAGUUGUCGCAAUCUUACGUGUUGGAGUUUAAUUGGUACAUGUAUGCGCCACGUAGGCUAUGCGUCAUCAUGAUAUUUUUACUAUCAAUGCAAUAUUUUUACUAUGAAAUUAUGUAAAUACGGUAAUCAAUAUAAAGAAGGAAACAAAUUAGAAUAUUAAGAUUUUCCUACCUUUUUUUGAAACAUGUAUAAUAGAAUAUAUUAGUUAAAUAUUUUAAUUUCCUAUUUAAAUCGCGACACAUAAGCAUGCCAUGUCAUCAUUGUGACACGGCUUAAAGGUCGCAUGUUGCGACCUUUAUCAUUUUCGUUGUACUUUUACUCUUCAGAAGUCAAAUUGUCCCCGGUAGAAGUAUUUUCUUAUGUUAAGAAAUUAUGAUCCUACUAUAAGGGAGGGGAGGUAUUGCACCACUAGAAUUGUUGUGUUAGCCCAGAAAUGAGCAUUAAGAGUAUUUGUGCUAUUUUCUAGCAUGGGGGAUGAGAAUUUCUCUAUUCUUUUCACCUGACCGAGUGUGCAUUCAGUGACCAACU
This is a long non-coding RNA of Spinacia oleracea (spinach), 2334 nucleotides long. RefSeq lists it as uncharacterized. The record is from RefSeq and is a predicted model, not a curated record. Lineage: Eukaryota; Viridiplantae; Streptophyta; Magnoliopsida; Caryophyllales; Amaranthaceae. The transcript is spliced from 3 exons.